UGGGGAAUAUUGCACAAUGGGGGGAAACCCGUGAUGCAGCGACGCCGCGUGAGCGAUGAAGUAUUUCGGUAUGUAAAGCUCUAUCAGCAGGGAAGAAUUAAGACGGUACCUGACUAAGAAGCACCGGCUAAAUACGUGCC
Molecule: ribosomal RNA, 140 nt
Filed under: uncultured bacterium
Lineage: Bacteria
Description: partial 16S ribosomal RNA
Rfam family: Bacterial small subunit ribosomal RNA
Source: RNAcentral